Molecule: transfer RNA, 80 nt
Filed under: Bacteriophage sp.
Description: tRNA-Ser
Source: RNAcentral
GCUGUAAGUUGCUGAUAAUCAAAUAUAGAACGAAGGUUUCCUAAACUUUAGAUAGGGGUUCGAUUCCCCUCGGGACUACA